This 300-nucleotide ribosomal RNA is filed under the name uncultured bacterium. Its description in RNAcentral is "bacterial SSU rRNA". It matches the Rfam family "Bacterial small subunit ribosomal RNA", at positions 399 to 691 of the family's 1533-position model. The record is from RNAcentral.
GCGUGUAGGAAGAAGGCCCUUGGGUUGUAAACUACUGUCAUAGGGGAAGAACGUUGCGGGGUGAACAAUCCCGUAAUUUGACGGUACCCUGAGAGGAAGCACCGGCUAACUCCGUGCCAGCAGCCGCGGUAAUACGGAGGGUGCAAGCGUUGUUCGGAUUUACUGGGCGUAAAGUGUGUCUAGGCGGGAAAGUAUGUCAGGUGUGAAAGACCCGGGCCCAACCCGGGAAUUGCGCCUGAAACUGCUUUUCUUGAGUUAUGGAGAGGUGAGCAGAAUACCUAGUGUAGCAGUGAAAUGCGU